GAUGAACGCUGGCGGUAUGCUUAACACAUGCAAGUCGAACGGACUCUUCGGAGUUAGUGGCGGACGGGUGAGUAACGCGUGAGAAUCUGGCUUUGGGUUCGGGACAACCACUGGAAACGGUGGCUAAUACCGGAUGUGCCGAGAGGUAAAAGAGAAAUUGCCUGAAGAUGAGCUCGCGUCUGAUUAGCUAGUUGGUGAGGUAAAGGCUCACCAAGGCAGCGAUCAGUAGCUGGUCUGAGAGGAUGACCAGCCACACUGGGACUGAGACACGGCCCAGCCUCCUGCGGGGGGCAGCAGUGGGGAAUUUUCCGCAAUGGGCGAAAGCCUGACGGAGCAAUACCGCGUGAGGGAAGAAGGCUCUUGGGUUGUAAACCUCUUUUCUUAGGGAAGAACAAAGUGACGGUACCUAAGGAAUCAGCAUCGGCUAACUCCGUG
Molecule: ribosomal RNA, 435 nt
Filed under: uncultured bacterium
Lineage: Bacteria
Description: partial 16S ribosomal RNA
Rfam family: Bacterial small subunit ribosomal RNA
Source: RNAcentral